This 331-nucleotide ribosomal RNA is filed under the name uncultured bacterium. RNAcentral's name for it is "bacterial SSU rRNA". It matches the Rfam family "Bacterial small subunit ribosomal RNA", at positions 568 to 897 of the family's 1533-position model. The record is from RNAcentral.
CGUGUAGGCGGCCUCUUAAGUCUGAUGUGAAAGCCCGGGGCUUACCCCCGGAAGGGCAUUGGAAACUGGGAGGCUAGAGUACCGGAGAGGAAGGUGGAAUUCCUGGUGUAGCGGUGAAAUGCGUAGAUAUCAGGAGGAACACCGGUGGCGAAGGCGGCCUUCUGGACGGAUACUGACGCUGAGACGCGAAAGCGUGGGGAGCAAACAGGAUUAGAUACCCUGGUAGUCCACGCCGUAAACGAUGGGCACUAGGUGUUCGGGGUAUUGACCCCCUGAGUGCCGCAGCUAACGCAUUAAGUGCCCCGCCUGGGGACUACGGCCGCAAGGUUAA